Molecule: ribosomal RNA, 478 nt
Filed under: uncultured bacterium
Lineage: Bacteria
Description: partial 16S ribosomal RNA
Rfam family: Bacterial small subunit ribosomal RNA
Source: RNAcentral
GACGAACGCUGGCGGCGUGCUUAACACAUGCAAGUCGAACGGUAAGGCCCUUCGGGGUACACGAGUGGCGAACGGGUGAGUAACACGUGGGUGAUCUGCCCUGCACUUCGGGAUAAGCCCGGGAAACUGGGUCUAAUACCGGAUCGGACUCCGGCCCGCAUGGUCUGGGGUGGAAAGCUUUUGCGGUGUGGGAUGGGCCCGCGGCCUAUCAGCUUGUUGGUGGGGUGAUGGCCUACCAAGGCGACGACGGGUAGCCGGCCUGAGAGGGUGACCGGCCACACUGGGACUGAGAUACGGCCCAGACUCCUACGGGAGGCAGCAGUGGGGAAUAUUGCACAAUGGGCGCAAGCCUGAUGCAGCGACGCCGCGUGAGGGAUGACGGCCUUCGGGUUGUAAACCUCUUUCAGCAUCGACGAAGCGAAAGUGACGGUAGGUGCAGAAGAAGGACCGGCCAACUACGUGCCAGCAGCCGCGGUAA